Molecule: regulatory RNA element, 54 nt
Organism: Gasterosteus aculeatus (three-spined stickleback)
Lineage: Eukaryota; Metazoa; Chordata; Actinopteri; Perciformes; Gasterosteidae
Rfam family: UnaL2 LINE 3' element
About the family: The eel long interspersed element (LINE) UnaL2 and its partner short interspersed element (SINE) share a conserved 3' tail containing a stem-loop that is critical for their retrotransposition. Presumably, the first step of retrotransposition is the recognition of their 3' tails by UnaL2-encoded reverse transcriptase. The solution structure of a 17-nucleotide RNA derived from the 3' tail of UnaL2 was determined by NMR.
Source: Rfam
UUAACAAUGCAAUGUUAGUCGCUUUGGAUAAAAGCGUCAGCUAAAUGAUAUGUA